GACGAACGCUGGCGGCGUGCUUAACACAUGCAAGUCGAGCGGUAAGGCCCUUUCGGGGGUACGACGAGCGGCGAACGGGUGAGUAACACGUGGGUGACCUGCCCUCAGCUCUGGGAUAAGCCUGGGAAACUGGGUCUAAUACCGGAUAUGACUCCAUGACGCAUGUUGUGGGGUGGAAAGCCUUGUGCGGCUGAGGAUGGGCCCGCGGCCUAUCAGCUUGUUGGUGGGGUGAGGCCUACCAAGGCGACGACGGGUAGCCGGCCUGAGAGGGCGACCGGCCACACUGGGACUGAGACACGGCCCAGACUCCUACGGGAGGCAGCAGUGGGGAAUCUUGCGCAAUGGGCGAAAGCCUGACGCAGCGACGCCGCGUGAGGAUGACGGCCUCGG
RNAcentral lists this ribosomal RNA (390 nucleotides) under uncultured bacterium. Its description in RNAcentral is "bacterial SSU rRNA". It matches the Rfam family "Bacterial small subunit ribosomal RNA", at positions 28 to 420 of the family's 1533-position model. The record is from RNAcentral.